UUAAGGACCUUGUUAGGCCUAAAAACACCGUGAGGUGGUGGCAGCUGUUCUAAAGGCCCCCGGAAGAUGUGUCCUUAUUCCUUGACCACGUGUGAAGCAGAGAGAGGUGUCCUUCUACAAGUUGUAGGAAGAGGAGGGGGAGAUUACUGCCAUAUAAGGAAGUUCUAUUUGAUGACCCGAGACAAAGAUGCUCCACGGAUGCCUUGCUGCCUUUGAAGGUUUGCUUAUUUAUUUUGAGGGAGAGCAGGAGUUGCGGGGGA
Long non-coding RNA from Lynx canadensis (Canada lynx), 260 nucleotides. RefSeq lists it as uncharacterized. Lineage: Eukaryota; Metazoa; Chordata; Mammalia; Carnivora; Felidae. The transcript has 3 exons. The record is from RefSeq and is a predicted model, not a curated record.